AACGAACGCUGGCGGCAUGCCUAACACAUGCAAGUCGAACGAAGUCUUCGGACUUAGUGGCGCACGGGUGCGUAACGCGUGGGAAUCUGCCCUUGGGUGCGGAAUAACUUCUCGAAAGGGAUGCUAAUACCGCAUAAUGUCGUAAGACCAAAGAUUUAUCGCCCAAGGAUGAGCCCGCGUAAGAUUAGCUAGUUGGUGGGUAAAAGCCUACCAAGGCGACGAUCUUUAGCUGGUCUGAGAGGAUGAUCAGCCACACUGGGACUGAGACACGGCCCAGACUCCUACGGGAGGCAGCAGUGGGGAAUAUUGGACAAUGGGCGAAAGCCUGAUCCAGCAAUGCCGCGUGAGUGAUGAAGGCCCUAGGGUGUAAAGCUCUUUUACCAGGGAUGAUAAUGACAGUACCUGGAGAAUAAGCCCCCGGCUAACU
This 427-nucleotide ribosomal RNA is filed under the name uncultured bacterium. RNAcentral describes it as "bacterial SSU rRNA". It matches the Rfam family "Bacterial small subunit ribosomal RNA", at positions 29 to 502 of the family's 1533-position model. The record is from RNAcentral.